Molecule: non-coding RNA, 181 nt
Filed under: Rhodocyclaceae bacterium
Lineage: Bacteria; Pseudomonadati; Pseudomonadota; Betaproteobacteria; Rhodocyclales; Rhodocyclaceae
Description: 6S RNA
Rfam family: 6S / SsrS RNA
About the family: E. coli 6S RNA was the first non coding RNA to be sequenced, but its function was unknown until recently. It consists of 184 nucleotides that fold into an extended hairpin structure with a large single-stranded internal bulge. The 6S RNA specifically associates with RNA polymerase holoenzyme containing the sigma70 specificity factor.
Source: RNAcentral
AAUCCCCUGCGGUGUUUGUGUCGGCCGUAGAUUCCUUGAACCAAUGUCUAGCGACGUGGCUGCAGACCGGAAGUAUGCCGUUGCGCGCACCCCUUCGCGGGUGUGCCUGAAGCGUCAGGAAUGCGACCGACCUGAAUCUUCGGUUCAGGAUGCCCGGCCGGGACGGCAUUGCGGGGGACCU